Molecule: transfer RNA, 71 nt
Filed under: Agrotis tokionis
Lineage: Eukaryota; Metazoa; Arthropoda; Insecta; Lepidoptera; Noctuidae
Description: tRNA-Ala
Source: RNAcentral
AGGAUUAUAGUUUAAAUAUAAAACAUUUGAUUUGCAUUCAAAAAAUAUUAUUAUUAUAAUAAUUUAUCUUA